CACUCCUGCGGGAGGCAGCAGUGGGGAAUAUUGGACAAUGGGCGCAAGCCUGAUCCAGCCAUGCCGCGUGAGUGAUGAAGGCCCUAGGGUUGUAAAGCUCUUUCACCGGAGAAGAUAAUGACGGUAUCCGGAGAAGAAGCCCCGGCUAACUUCGUGCCAGCAGCCGCGGUAAUACGAAGGGGGCUAGCGUUGUUCGGAAUUACUGGGCGUAAAGCGCACGUAGGCGGAUCGAUCAGUCAGGGGUGAAAUCCCAGGGCUCAACCCUGGAACUGCCUUUGAUACUGUCGAUCUGGAGUAUGGAAGAGGUGAGUGGAAUUCCGAGUGUAGAGGUGAAAUUCGUAGAUAUUCGGAGGAACACCAGUGGCGAAGGCGGCUCACUGGUCCAUUACUGACGCUGAGGUGCGAAAGCGUGGGGAGCAAACAGGAUUAGAUACCCGGGUAGUCC
RNAcentral lists this ribosomal RNA (445 nucleotides) under uncultured organism. Its description in RNAcentral is "partial 16S ribosomal RNA". It matches the Rfam family "Bacterial small subunit ribosomal RNA", at positions 334 to 796 of the family's 1533-position model. The record is from RNAcentral.